This 528-nucleotide ribosomal RNA is filed under the name uncultured bacterium. RNAcentral describes it as "bacterial SSU rRNA". It matches the Rfam family "Bacterial small subunit ribosomal RNA", at positions 8 to 521 of the family's 1533-position model. The record is from RNAcentral.
AGAGUUUGAUCCUGGCUCAGGAUGAACGCUAGCGACAGGCUUAACACAUGCAAGUCGAGGGGCAGCGGGGGUGAUGGCUUGCCAUCGCCUGCCGGCGACCGGCGCACGGGUGAGUAACACGUAUGCAACCUGCCCGCCACAGGGGGAUAAGCGGAAGAAAUUCCGUCUAAUACCGCGUGACGCGGCAUCGGGGCAUCCCGGUGCCGCCAAAGGGAUUACCGGUGGCGGAUGGGCAUGCGGCGCAUUAGCUAGUCGGCGGGGUAACGGCCCACCGAGGCGACGAUGCGUAGGGGUUCUGAGAGGAAGGUCCCCCACACUGGUACUGAGACACGGACCAGACUCCUACGGGAGGCAGCAGUGAGGAAUAUUGGUCAAUGGGCGGGAGUCUGAACCAGCCAAGUCGCGUGAGGGAUGACGGUCCUACGGAUUGUAAACCUCUUUUGCCGGGGAGCAAGCGUGCGUUCGUGAACGCACGUCGAGAGUACCCGGGGAAAAAGCAUCGGCUAACUCCGUGCCAGCAGCCGCGGU